RNAcentral lists this ribosomal RNA (569 nucleotides) under uncultured bacterium. Its description in RNAcentral is "partial 16S ribosomal RNA". It matches the Rfam family "Bacterial small subunit ribosomal RNA", at positions 355 to 911 of the family's 1533-position model. The record is from RNAcentral.
UGGGGAAUUUUGGACAAUGGGCGAAAGCCUGAUCCAGCAAUGCCGCGUGUGUGAAGAAGGCCCUCGGGUUGUAAAGCACUUUUGUCCGGAAAGAAAUCCUUGGCUCUAAUACAGUCGGGGGGAUGACGGUACCGGAAGAAUAAGCACCGGCUAACUACGUGCCAGCAGCCGCGGUAAUACGUAGGGUGCAAGCGUUAAUCGGAAUUACUGGGCGUAAAGCGUGCGCAGGCGGUUUGCUAAGACCGAUGUGAAAUCCCCGGGCUAACCUGGGGAACUGCAUUGGUGACUGGCAGGCUAGAGUAUGGCAGAGGGGGGUAGAAUUCCACGUGUAGCAGUGAAAUGCGUAGAGAUGUGGAGGAAUACCGAUGGCGAAGGCAGCCCCCUGGGGCCAAAUACUGACGCUCAUGCACGAAAGCGUGGGGGAGCAAAACAGGAUUAGAUACCCUGGUAGUCCCACGCCCUAAACGAUGUCAACUAGUUGUUGGGGAUUCAUUUCCUUAGUAACGUAGCUAACGCGUGAAGUUGACCGCCUGGGGAGUACGGUCGCAAGAUUAAAACUCAAAUGAAUU